AACCAGCACCUCAAGUGGUCAGGAUGAUUAUUGGGCCUAAAGCAUCCGUAGCCUGUUCUGUUAGUCUCCGGUUAAAUCCAUCAACUCAAGUGAUGGGCCGCCGAAGAUACUGCAAAACUAGGGAGUGGGAGAGGUAGACGGUACUCGGUAGGAAGGGGUAAAAUCCUUUGAUCUAUUGAUGACCACCUGUGGCGAAGGCGGUCUACCAGAACACGUUCGACGGUGAGGGAUGAAAGCUGGGGGAGCAAACCGG
RNAcentral lists this ribosomal RNA (253 nucleotides) under uncultured archaeon. Its description in RNAcentral is "partial 16S ribosomal RNA". It matches the Rfam family "Archaeal small subunit ribosomal RNA", at positions 474 to 727 of the family's 1478-position model. The record is from RNAcentral.